ACCGAGCUGGUCCAACGGCUCACGACGCCUGGCUCUGAACCAGGAAAUCGGGGUUCGACUCCCUGGCUCGGUG
RNAcentral lists this transfer RNA (73 nucleotides) under Sandaracinaceae bacterium. RNAcentral describes it as "tRNA-Gln". It matches the Rfam family "tRNA". From Rfam's summary of the family: Transfer RNA (tRNA) molecules are approximately 80 nucleotides in length. The record is from RNAcentral. Lineage: Bacteria; Pseudomonadati; Myxococcota; Polyangiales; Sandaracinaceae.